Pteropus alecto (black flying fox) is the source of this 84-nucleotide non-coding RNA. The record is from Rfam. Lineage: Eukaryota; Metazoa; Chordata; Mammalia; Chiroptera; Pteropodidae.
GCUCCCUCUCUCACAUCCCUUGCAUGGUGGAGGGUGCACUUGCUGAAAACCCCUCCCACAUGCAGGGUUUGCAGGAUGGUGAGC